GACGAACCGUGCGAACGUUGUUCGGAAUCACUGGGCUUAAAGGGCGCGUAGGCGGGUGACCAAGUCCGGGUGAAAUCUUUCGGCUUAACCGGAAAAGUGCCUUGGAUACUGGUCGCCUGGAGGAGGUAGGGGCAUGUGGAACUUCCGGUGGAGCGGUGAAAUGCGUUGAUAUCGGAAGGAACGCCGGUGGCGAAAGCGAACGUGCUGGCCCUCUUCUGACGCUGAGGCGCGAAAACCAGGGGAGCAAACGGGAUUAGAUG
This 260-nucleotide ribosomal RNA is filed under the name uncultured bacterium. RNAcentral describes it as "partial 16S ribosomal RNA". It matches the Rfam family "Bacterial small subunit ribosomal RNA", at positions 524 to 784 of the family's 1533-position model. The record is from RNAcentral.